AAAAUAUGUGAAUUAAAAUAAUGAUAAGUGCUAUGAAUAAGAUAUUAAAUUAUGCAUUAUUUAGCACUUAUCACACCCCCCAACCUACAUUUUGCUAGUCCUCGAGCAAAAUAAAAUAAAUAAUAAAAAAACUAACUCACUUUCGCAGGAAUCGCGAUUGCAUUUACCGUAUGCAAUAAGGCUUUAAACCCCUAGGUGGCCCUAGUGGACGAGUUUUGUCUCGUGAGGGUUUCCGGCUCAGAUACCCACAAACUGCAGUCGAAAGAAUUUAUUUUAUAAAAUCUAAUUUCAAAUGCAUAAGUGCCAAAAAUUUCAAAAGCACACAAAGUUUUAAUUACUAAGUCAGCCCAAAUCCUAGGUCAGUAUGCAAUUUAAGUUGAAGUCAUUA
Molecule: long non-coding RNA, 388 nt
Filed under: Phoenix dactylifera (date palm)
Lineage: Eukaryota; Viridiplantae; Streptophyta; Magnoliopsida; Arecales; Arecaceae
Description: long non-coding RNA (PDAC_LNC010513)
Source: RNAcentral